CAGUGCUAUUUAGAAACAAUAUAAAAAAUGAAAAAGAAUAAUUUAGAGUAUGCUUUCAAAAUAGUUUGUGACUUAUUUUUGAAGGAUUACUAAAAAGAAGCUUUAAUAGCUCUCAGCAAUAGCAGAGAUUGUUUGUUUGCAAACCGACAGGCAGUAAAAAAUCUAUUGUGUUCCGAUUUUUACCCUUUUUUACCUUCACUUUAAACUUAUUAAGAAAAGGACGAGCACCUCAUAGUAUUCUAUAUGAAUAUGUACUUAAGUUGUGCAAUAAUUAAAUUUUAGUUGUUUCUCCGGUUUUGAGUUUAAUGAAAGAUCAAGAAAACAUUCUAAAUAAAAACUUUUUACUACAAAGGAAAUAAAGUAGCUUUUAUGAAGCAUAAUCAACAAAGAAAAAAGUAUAGAAGAUGAUCAAACAGAGAUAAAUUACUAUGAAACAAAUGUAAUAUUUUGUUCACCUCAAGCCAUUGUAACAACUUAUUGAUCAAUUGUCAAUGAGUCUGGUUUUAAUCAGAAACUUAUUUCAAUUGCAGCUGAUGAAAGCCAUUGUGUGAAAAAGUGGGGAAGUUCAAGUACAUAAUCAGAUGUAUUUCGGUCUCAUGAUAAUAGACUCAGAAUUGUGAUCACUUGUCUCUAAAAAGAUUCCAGAAUUGCCAUUGGCAGCAACUGCAACUAAACAAAAAUUGUAAACAAUAAUUUUCAUUUACUUGACUAGAUUAUUUAUUUACUAGUCAAGAAGGAAACAUCGUAAUAGCUGAGUAGGUGGAGCCAGCAUUUGAACCUCCAAUCCUGCUUCUGUAGCCAAUAAUUAUUCCGAACUUAUAACAGUGCUUUAACUAACUGAGCUAUCCUGAACUUAUAACAGUGCUUUAACCAACUGAGCUACCAUUAUUGAUAAUCUUUGUAUGCAUAAUUUAGUUAUUAUAUCAUCUACACCAGAAAGAAGAAAUAUUAAAGACCAGAUCCAAAGAAAUUUUUCUGCCCAGUUGUUCAAGAUAUUUUUUUGAAUACGUAUUCAGCUAAAAGAACUUUAGUCUUUUCUACAACUAUGACUGAUGUAAGAUCAAUUUAUUGGUACUUUUCUACCACUAUGACUGAUGUACGAUCAAGUUAUUGGUACUUUCACAAUGAACAAGUUCAAAAAGGUGUAAAAUAUAAAAGCUAUCUUGAUAGACCAUACGUUUCAUUCCAAUAAUUUCAUUCCAAAACAGAUUUUAAUGAUGAAAAGUAUAAUACAAAACAAAAAUAUAAACAACCUCUAACCUUGAUCAAGCUUCGUUUUUUUGUUCGAAAAUAUCCUACUAUUCGUUUCUUCUGGUGUUGGUGUAGAUAUCAAUAUUUUUUGUGAGUUUUCUUUAAGAAUUUCAUGAUCUCUUGAGAUGGUAUUUAUAUUUUUUGUAUUUUUGCUAAUAUUCUUUUUACAUUUGUAUAGCAUAUUUUACAAAUACAAUGAUAGUUUUUUUGAAAAAAUUAGUUUUUUGGAGACAUAAAAUGCACACGCUUAACGAAUUAGGAGGUAAGAAAACCUCAUAAGGUUGUGCCCUUUUUUUUGGCAAUGGUAAAAUGUUUUUUUUUUAAGCAAUGAAACAUUGUGAUCAUUGCAUUGAAAAUCAAAUAACUUAUCCUCCAUUUAUUAAAAACUGGAUACCACAGGGUUUCCACACCUUAAAAACCUUAAAUAUCCUUAAAAAAUAAAAACCUCCUUAAAUUUCCUUAAAUAACCUUAAAAAAAGUUAAAAUUUGACU
Hydra vulgaris (swiftwater hydra) is the source of this 1743-nucleotide long non-coding RNA. RefSeq lists it as uncharacterized. Lineage: Eukaryota; Metazoa; Cnidaria; Hydrozoa; Anthoathecata; Hydridae. The record is from RefSeq and is a predicted model, not a curated record.